UACGGGGGGGGCAAGCGUUGUUCGGAAUUACUGGGCGUAAAGGGCUCGUAGGCGGCCAACUAAGUCAGACGUGAAAUCCCCCGGCUUAACCUGGGAACUGCGUCUGAUACUGGAAGGCUUGAGUAUGGGAGAGGGAUGUAGAAUUCCAGGUGUAGCGGUGAAAUGCGUAGAUAUCUGGAGGAAUACCGGUGGCGAAGGCGGCAUCCUGGGCCAUUACUGACGCUGAGGCGCGAAAGCUAGGGGAGCAAACGGG
RNAcentral lists this ribosomal RNA (253 nucleotides) under uncultured bacterium. Its description in RNAcentral is "partial 16S ribosomal RNA". It matches the Rfam family "Bacterial small subunit ribosomal RNA", at positions 524 to 776 of the family's 1533-position model. The record is from RNAcentral.